AUGACUGAAGUGAAAUUUACAAAAAAGGCUCAAAAUUGGUCAUAUACAAACCACUUCCUCUACAGACCAUUGGUGUUCAUGGUGUUUGGGCAUCUGAAAAGCAAAAAUCUUUGGAAAAGCAUUGUAUCUGCCUGUGCUGGGAUAUCUGCAUCUCAAAGAAGCUAUGUCGACCAGUCAGGCUUCAGAAGCUCUUCUCCCUCAGAGGCAAAGCUUCUUGGUGGGUCCCUGUCUGGCAUGUUGGAAAUGACAUUCUGUGUGGGAAGAGUCUGAAGUGCAGAGAGCAGUGGGAACCCAGCAGCUCUGAACCACAGCCCAGAGGGUGCCCUACAGGACUGUGAAGUGCAGGAGGGAUGGAAUGUUUUCUGUCCAACAAACUGAAAUGAAAACAUUUUGACUCUCUGGUGUUUCAAUGCUUUCUGUUGAUAAAAAAAUAAAAUAAAUAGAUAUAAUUCA
Molecule: long non-coding RNA, 453 nt
Filed under: Cyanistes caeruleus (blue tit)
Lineage: Eukaryota; Metazoa; Chordata; Aves; Passeriformes; Paridae
Description: lncRNA (ENSCCEG00000013988.1)
Source: RNAcentral